Molecule: long non-coding RNA, 380 nt
Organism: Haliotis rufescens (red abalone)
Lineage: Eukaryota; Metazoa; Mollusca; Gastropoda; Lepetellida; Haliotidae
Exons: 2
Source: RefSeq, a predicted model, not a curated record
AGACUAUAUUCUGGGAAUACGUUCACAUUAAUGUGUUAACGGUUCCUGACAAUGAAGGCUGUAUUAGGACUUUUGGUCGUGUUGGUGCUGUGUGCGGCUUGUUACGGAUCGGUGAUCCGUGAGACUACCUGCAGCGGAUUUGGCGGCUUCUGCGCUGAUGCAACAAGGACUCUGUGCCGCUUCCUUGGCCCCCAGGGAUCCUGCGCGGGGGAUCUGAUGGUCUGCUGCCUGAACCACCCAACUGACGUGGUCGGGCCCCUAGGAAAGUGAACAUAAAAACAGUAACGGCUGAGUUUGUGUCAAAGCGUGUAUUUCCAGCGUUUUCCUCAAAUGUUUUAAUUUGAUAUAACAGCUAUUAAAAUAUGUGCCUGUUUACCAAA